GAGUACAAACGUACUCAACAAGUCCAACCCCAUCCACGGAGGGGGAUACAAGUAUAUGCACAGGUCACAACAAGGAUAGGCUAGAGUUCAUUUGCGGUAAAGCUAAAUUUUCAACACAUGCAGGGGAUCGUUUUCGAAAGGGUUUUUGUAAAGUUUUCCUUUAGUACCCGAAAUAUUGAGUGGGGUUGACCCUACACAAAGGAUCCAAGUUUUUAUCGCUAUCGGACUCCCCGUCCGCCAUAGCGCACGGCACAUUUGCCGGACUCUUCCAAAAUCCAACACCCC
This 285-nucleotide long non-coding RNA is filed under the name Setaria viridis. Its description in RNAcentral is "long non-coding RNA (SVIR_LNC007179)". Lineage: Eukaryota; Viridiplantae; Streptophyta; Magnoliopsida; Poales; Poaceae. The record is from RNAcentral.